RNAcentral lists this long non-coding RNA (200 nucleotides) under Lathyrus oleraceus (garden pea). RNAcentral describes it as "Pisum sativum (pea) long non-coding RNA (PSAT_LNC000632)". The record is from RNAcentral. Lineage: Eukaryota; Viridiplantae; Streptophyta; Magnoliopsida; Fabales; Fabaceae.
AAACAGUGACAAUGAGCUUAACUCAGAAUCAGAAUUUUCUAAACAGAUUCAUAUCCUCAACAUCGCUCUCAGUUUAAAAGGUUACCGAAUGCGGGGUCGGAGUUGUGCUUUUGUUGUUGUCUUAUUGCUCGCUUGACGACAUCGGCGGUGAAAUGAACGCUUCGGCUCUUGAAUGAUUACAGUGGUGAGAUUUGAUGAAG